RNAcentral lists this ribosomal RNA (503 nucleotides) under uncultured bacterium. RNAcentral describes it as "partial 16S ribosomal RNA". It matches the Rfam family "Bacterial small subunit ribosomal RNA", at positions 30 to 523 of the family's 1533-position model. The record is from RNAcentral.
AUUGAACGCUGGCGGCAGGCUUAACACAUGCAAGUCGAGCGGGGUGAUGGUGCUUGCACUAUCACUUAGCGGCGGACGGGUGAGUAAUGCUUAGGAAUCUGCCUAUUAGUGGGGGACAACAUCUCGAAAGGGAUGCUAAUACCGCAUACGUCCUACGGGAGAAAGCAGGGGAUCACUUGUGACCUUGCGCUAAUAGAUGAGCCUAAGUCGGAUUAGCUAGUUGGUGGGGUAAGGGCCUACCAAGGCGACGAUCUGUAGCGGGUCUGAGAGGAUGGUCCGCCAGCCUGGGACUGAGAAACGGCCCAGACUCCUACGGGAGGCAGCAGUGGGGAAUAUUGGACAAUGGGGGGAACCCUGAUCCAGCCAUGCCGCGUGUGUGAAGAAGGCCUUAUGGUUGUAAAGCACUUUAAGCGAGGAGGAGGCUCUUUUGGUUAAUACCCAAGAUGAGUGGACGUUACUCGCAGAAUAAGCACCGGCUAACUCUGUGCCAGCAGCCGCAGUAA